UUCCAAGACCCACGCAAAGAGGAGAAAGCCCCACUCAACCUGGUCUGAGCCCAGCGCUGCCCAUGCUGUGAGUAGGAUGGUGGAGUUGGGGUCUCCUGUGGUUCCUUCCAACCUGAAUUAUCCCAGCAUCUUCUGCUCAGCGGAUCCCCACAGACCGGGGUCAGAGUGAAGGUGCAAAGCCAUGUCAGCGAUGGAGCAGCCCAGACCUACAGUGCGUCAGCUGUGGGGUGGCCUUGGCAAAGCAUUGGGAUGUGCUCGGAGCCUCAGCAAGGACC
RNAcentral lists this long non-coding RNA (275 nucleotides) under Gallus gallus (chicken). Its description in RNAcentral is "lncRNA (ENSGALG00010003704.1)". Lineage: Eukaryota; Metazoa; Chordata; Aves; Galliformes; Phasianidae. The record is from RNAcentral.